Long non-coding RNA from Rosa chinensis, 3191 nucleotides. RefSeq lists it as uncharacterized. The transcript has 8 exons. Lineage: Eukaryota; Viridiplantae; Streptophyta; Magnoliopsida; Rosales; Rosaceae. The record is from RefSeq and is a predicted model, not a curated record.
UAUUAAAACUGAAGAUGAUAUGAAAUUGGGUGCUAGUGUGCCACACAAACACAACCAAACCUUAUCCUCCUCUUUUUUCUGCGUUCUGUGACUUCUGUCUCUCCUCUCCUCAAUUCUCAUCGACCUCAGUACCUCUCUAUCCAGCCACUCAGAUUGCAAAGGUCUAGGUUAGUAGGCCAUCUAGCAAUUUUGUGGGAUUCUGGAAUUGAGAAAUUGGAGAAGUCGAGCAGUGAACAAACUCAGAGUCACAGACUAUAAUUUGAGUUUAAGAAAUCAGGUUCUCUCCUUCACAUUGAUUUGCUAAUUUUGCUUGAAUUGUUUGGGGAUGUUGCUUGAAUUGAUUUGCUAAAAUUUAGAAGCAUGCCUCCUAAAAGAAAAUGUUUAUCUAGACAUGCAAAACGCUUAAAGAAUAAAAAAGAUGCAAAGUUGGUUAAUUCUUUAAGGGGAAGUCUUGAUAGGUUCAUUAGUAAAAAAUCAGAAGGUUUGGGUGGACAUUUAGUUAAUGAAGUGGCAGAAGAGCACACUGAUAGGGAAGAUAAUGUGGAAGAGCACACCGAUGGCAAUGUAGUUGUCAAUAAUUUGGGUCAUGAUGAAAAUGAGAAUGGUACAGGACAUAAUGAUAAUGUGAAUGAUGCUCCUAUGAAUAUUUUUGACCCAAGAAAUUGGGAUAGUUUGGAUAAAAAGUUGAUAGAUUUGUUGGUAGAAAAGGGUCCUCAUAGAGAUCUUUCAAUAGAAAAUGGUCCUCCAGACAAGUUCAAUAGACGUUUCAGUUCAAAAUUCUACACUCAAUUUUUAGGAAAUGGAGAGAAAUAUGAUAAAGAGUGGCUAGUGUACUCAAAGGAACUUGAUAAGAUUUUUUGUUUUUGUUGCAAGUUGUUUAAGAGGGGGCCAAUGCGAGGUCAGUUAUCGAAUGAUGGGUACAAUGAUUGGGGUCAUCUUAGUAAAAAGACUUAAAGAGCAUGAAAUGAGUACUGAUCAUCUCAUUAAUGCAAAUACUUGGACUGAUUUGCGUCUUUGAUUGCAGAAGCAUGAAACAAUUGAUAAAGCUUUUAAAGACCAGAUUAGGAAAGAGAAAGAACACUGGAGGAACGUGCUUAAAAGAAUAAUUGCAAUUGUCAAAUUUCUUGCUAAAAAUAACUUAGCUUUCCGUGGAACUAAUGAGAGGCUUUAUGAACUUGAUAAUGGACACUUCUUAGGCCUGGUUGAAAUGGUGGCAGAAUGUGAAAAAGUGAUGGAGGAGCAUUGUAGACGCAUAAAUAGUUCAGAAAUUCAUCAUCACUAUCUUGGUCAUAACAUUCAGAAUGAGUUGCUGCAAAUGAUAGCUAUUGAAAUCAAAGCUGAAAUCAUAAAAAAAAUUAAAGAUGCUGAAUAUUUCUCGGUUAUUCUUGAUUGCACACCAGAUAUUAGUCACCAAGAGCAGAUGUCAUUGAUAAUUAGAUAUGUAAAUGUUUCAAAGAGUCCAAUACAAAUUGAAGAGUUCCUUUUGGAGUUUUUAAAUGUACAUGACACUUCUGGUCAGGGACUAUUUGAAGAGCUGCAGGUUGUGGUACAAUCAUUGGAUCUUGAUAUUAACAAUGUGAGGGGACAAGGAUACAACAACGGGUCAAACAUGAAAGGCAAACACCAAGGGGUACAAAAAAAAACUGUUAAAUAUCAAUCCUAGAGCAUUAUACACCCCGUGUGGUUGUCAUUGUUUAAGAGAAACAUUACUUCAAUUGGCAGAAAUUGACAAGGAUUCCAAAAUUAAAAGUGGUGCAAAGUCAAGAGCAACUAAUGAUUUGGGAGACUUUGAGUUUUUGAUAAGCAUGGUGAUUUGAUGCAAUGUUUACUGCUAAAGAAAUUACUGCGGCAUUAGAUGUUGAUCCUAUUUUUCCAGAAAAGCGUCCAAUACAAAGAAUUUUUUUUUGAUGAAAGCAGCAGUGAGCCAUCUCCAUCAUCUUCAGGUGAGGAAUCUUUUAGAUUGCAUUAUUUCUUGUAUAUUGUAGAUCAAGCUAAGGGAUCAUUAAAUAGAAGGUUUGAACAAUAUCAACACUAUGAUGAUAUCUUUGGAUUUUUAUUCACUUCAGAAACUUUGAAUUCCUUGAAUGAUAAUGAUAUGAAAGCUGCUUGUAUUCAUCUUGAGAAUGUUUUGAGACAUGGAGAGAGUUCAGAUGUUGAUGGGGAAGAUCUGUUUAGAGAGCUAAAACUCUUAAGGGAGAUAUUACCAAAACAAAAGAUGACAGCUAGUGAUAUAUUGAAUUUCUUACAGGAAAGGAAUACUUGCCCAAUUGUUAGACUUGCAUAUCGAAUAUUGUUAACUGUACCUGUUAUUGUUGCUUCAGCUUAGAGGAGUUUUUCCAAGAUGAAGUUAUUGAAGUCUUAUUUGCGAUCAACUAUGUCACAAGAAAGGCUAAAUGGACUUGCUUUGAUUUCGAUUGAGAACGAAUAUCUUGGAAAAAUCAAUUGUGAUAAGCUAAUUGAUCAGUUUGCAGGAUAGGUCCUAUAGCUGGAGUCGAAGAAAAUUAAGAACUGCUGCAUACAUGUUGAACUUGUUUAGUCUAAGGGGGCUGCCAUGGGGUUCUAGCACGGAUGGUGAAAAAAAAGGUUGAGCUAUCUGCUGUAGAACUAGAAUCACUUCGAACAAAAGCUUGCUGAUAUAGAAGAGAGGGAAGCUCAUUUGAAAGCUCAAUUGGAAUACGUUGAUGAAAUUUUGUAAUCAGCUCGUAUCUCUGGCUAAAUGUACUUUCAAACUUAGAGGUGGAAAACACUACCAAGAGAACCUCCUCCACUUGAUGAUACUGAUGUUGAUGAUUGGCUUCCAUGCGUUGUUGUCUUGCAAGGGACCUGCAUGUUCUUCUACUUGUUAUCUACAGAAUUCUUCCCCUUUGCAUUUGUAAUAGUAGAUUUCAAAAAUCAUGUGAACUUGGAUAUUGAAGCCUCCAUUGACCAAGAGAUCAUUCGGCGAACCAAGAAAUGUUGAAAUGAAGUCUCGUGCUGAAAGUGGUAAAAUUAUGCCUAUAGGUUUAGAGCGUCGCCAUUGAAAAAUAGCAGUAGCAUUACAACAUUGACAGUAGCUUUAUACAACUAUUGUAAUAGAUUUUCACAACUAUGGUAAUGACUUUUUACAACUAUGAAAGUAGCGUUUUACAUAGUUAUAUCAUUGUUGAACCCUGUAUACUUUUUGUAUCAUUGAAUAUGCUUUAUUUUCUCAA